CCAAUAGCGUAUAUUAAAGUUGUUGCAGUUAAAAAGCUCGUAGUUGAAUUUCGGGAUCAGUACGUCGGUCGUGCCUUCGGUAUGUACUGGUGUCACUGGUUCCUCCCUUCUGACGAACCGUCAUGCCAUUCACUUGGUGUGGCGGGAAAUCCGGACUGUUCCUUUGAAAAAAUUAGAGUGUUUAAAGCAGGCUCACGCUUGAAUACAUUAGCAUGGAAUAAUGGAAUAGGACGUUGAUCUUAUUUUGUUGGUUUCUAGGAUUGACGUAAUGAUUAAUAGGGAUAGUUGGGGGCAUUAGUAUUCAAUUGUCAGAGGUGAAAUUCUUGGAUUUAUUGAAGACUAACUACUGCGAAAGCAUUUGCCAAGGAUGUUUUCAUUAAUCAAGAACGAAAGUUAGGGGAUCGAAGACGAUCAGAUACCGUCGUAGUCUUAACCAUAAACUAUGCCGACUAGGGAUCGGAUGAUGUUAAUUUUUUAAUGACUCAUUCGGCGCCUUACG
RNAcentral lists this ribosomal RNA (499 nucleotides) under uncultured Glomeromycotina. RNAcentral describes it as "partial small subunit ribosomal RNA". It matches the Rfam family "Eukaryotic small subunit ribosomal RNA", at positions 591 to 1092 of the family's 1831-position model. The record is from RNAcentral. Lineage: Eukaryota; Fungi; Glomeromycota.